UCACGAAAGUGGAUUGUACUAGAAGUCUGCAGGCUGACCCGCAAGGGAGGCAGCGGCCCAAGGUAUGAUCCAUGAUUGGGGUG
This 83-nucleotide ribosomal RNA is filed under the name uncultured bacterium. RNAcentral's name for it is "partial 16S ribosomal RNA". The record is from RNAcentral.